CAGAUGAAAUUGGCUUAAAGUUAGACCCUGUGCGGUAGAAGCCCCCCAUAUUCCUUCCCACAGGCCAGAGACCUUCUUGGUGAGUGUUACAGCUCAUGAAGGCGGCACUUCCAGAGUUAUUCCUUUCUCCUGGUGGGUUCAUGGUCUCACUGGCUUCAAGAGUGAAGCUGCAGACUUUCCCGGUGAGUGUUACAGCUCAUAAAAGUCCAGAGUUGUUCGUUCCUUCUGGUGGGUUCAUGGUCUCACUGGCUUCAGGAGUGAAGCUGCGACCUUCCUGGAGAGUGUUACAGCUUCUAAAAGCAGUGCAGACCCAAAGAGUGACCAGCAACAAGAUUUAUUGCAAAGAGCAAAACAACAACACACUCACAAAGUCCAAACAGCUGUCCCAGGGCGUUCAGGUGGCCUGCUUUUAUUCCCUUAUUUGGCCCCACCCACAUCCUGCUGAUUGGUCCAUUUUACAGAGAGCUGAUUGGCCCAUUUUACAGAGAGCUGAUUGGCCCAUUUUACAGAGUGCUGAUUGGUCCGUUUUUACAGAGUGCUGAUUGGUGCGUUUACAAACCUUUAGCUAGACACAGAGCACUGAUUGGUGCAUUUACAAUCCUUUAGCUAGACAGAAAAGUUCUCCAAGUCCCCACCCCACCCAGAAACCCAGGCGACUUCACCUGUCAAGCUGAGCUGAGCUCUUGAUUUUUCUCCCACUGGAAGGUCAACAUUGUUCGGGAUUCCUCAUCUUGCCGUGGCUCUGAGUUGGCUAAGUAUGACUGCAAAGCAUGGCACUUUCACUUGGCAACUCCCUCCCCUCACUCACUAUAGCAAACCAUUCUUUAGUCCCUGUGCAGAAACUUUGUUUGUUUGUUUGUUUGGGGCUUUACUUUUUGGAAGCCACGGAGGCACACUGUACAAAGGUUUUUGUGGGAAGCAAAUUGCCUUUCCUUUUAUUUAUUUAUUUAUUUUUCCUUUUUGGCAGAUGCCAAGGUCAUCUUUCUGUUUGUACUACAGAUACGCUGUAAUUGAUUUUCUGAGCGAACCUCUGCAUGUUCCUACGACAUUUUGUGAUCUUCCAAGUGAACAACCUGACAGUGCCAACAUUUAUACUGAAGUAAAAGAACUCCUGAAAAUUCUCAUAUAAAUGUCAGCAAUAUUGUGGAAGUUUGACCACUUUCAUGAGUCCAUACAUUGGAAAUCAAAGUAAUAAGGAAAUAUCUUAACUCUAUUAAAAUCAUUUUUUCUCCUUUGUAUUUUUUUUUCAGUCUGCUAACAAACACAGCCUGACUAGUUAUUCUAGCUCAAUUUUGUCGUGUGUGUGUGUGUUUGGGUGCAGACAUGUAUUUGUGUGCUUCUAAACUUAAUUCUUGUUACAUUGGUUUUCCACCGGGCGUGGUGGCUCACGCCUGUAAUCCCAACACUUUGGGAGCUUGAGGUGGGCAGAUAACCUGAGGUCAGCAGUUCAAGACCAGCCUAGGCAAGAAGGCGAAAUCCCAUUUCUACUAAAAAUACAAAAGUUAGUUGGGCGUGGUGGCAUGCGACUAUAAUCCCAACAACUCAGGAGAAUCACUUGAACCCGGGAGGCGGAGGUUGCAGUGAGCCGAGAUCGCACCACUGCACUCCAGCUUGGGUCACAGAGCAAGACUCUGUCUCAAAAAUAAAAACAACCCCUCCCAUCAAAACAUUGUUUUUCGAAAACAGUAGAGACGGAGUUAUACUUCCAAAUAGCUUGCACU
Molecule: long non-coding RNA, 1721 nt
Filed under: Homo sapiens (human)
Lineage: Eukaryota; Metazoa; Chordata; Mammalia; Primates; Hominidae
Description: non-protein coding lnc-EEPD1-3:3
Source: RNAcentral